Molecule: ribosomal RNA, 355 nt
Filed under: uncultured Desulfobulbus sp.
Lineage: Bacteria; Pseudomonadati; Thermodesulfobacteriota; Desulfobulbia; Desulfobulbales; Desulfobulbaceae
Description: bacterial SSU rRNA
Rfam family: Bacterial small subunit ribosomal RNA
Source: RNAcentral
CUGGAGACAGGUGCUGCAUGGCUGUCGUCAGCUCGUGUCGUGAGAUGUUGGGUUAAGUCCCGCAACGAGCGCAACCCUUGCCUUUAGUUGCCAGCAGUUCGGCUGGGCACUCUAAAGGGACUGCCGGUGUUAAACCGGAGGAAGGUGGGGAUGACGUCAAGUCCUCAUGGCCUUUAUGACCAGGGCUACACACGUACUACAAUGGCCGAUACAAAGGGCAGCGACACUGCGAGGUGAAGCCAAUCCCGUAAAAAUCGGUCUCAGUCCGGAUUGGAGUCUGCAACUCGACUCCAUGAAGUUGGAAUCGCUAGUAAUCGUGGAUCAGCAUGCCACGGUGAAUACGUUCCCGGGCCUU